Molecule: long non-coding RNA, 613 nt
Filed under: Vigna radiata
Lineage: Eukaryota; Viridiplantae; Streptophyta; Magnoliopsida; Fabales; Fabaceae
Description: long non-coding RNA (VRAD_LNC017887)
Source: RNAcentral
AGUUUGGGGUUGUACGCGGGAAAAUUGAAAAAAAAAAGCAAAUGAAAAGCAUUGAGCUCAAAUAAUGUGAAAAGAAAAAAUUCAUGAGAAAAAGAAAAGAAAAGAAGAAAAGCAUGAAGAAGAGCUCAAUGCAAAAGAAAAAGAAAAGGGAAAAGUUGGGAAUGAGAGAGAUUGGUGAGAGAGUUGUGUUUAAAUAUUGAGUAUGUUGUUAGCUCUCUUGACUCAAGGAUUUUGCAUUCUAGAAAAACCAAUUUUUCUUGUUAGUCCAACCUCAUUACAAGCCUUGGAAAAGUCCUUUUGAUGACAUUCGCAUGUAAAGAUGUUGGUUGUUUGAGAUGAAUGGCAAUUUCGUUUCAUGUAACUUGUGAACAAUAGAGAGUGGAGUGUCACCUUAAACACUUGAGGGAUUGAGUGAAACACUUGCUUGGUAUGAUUUGUUAAUUUUCAUGAGUACAUUUUUUCUUAAUGGAUUGAUCAUUCAUAGUGUAGAACAUCUAUUGUGCAAUCUCUGGAUUGAAAGCAUGCAUGCAUCUUAUUUUGGAUUUCACUGAGGAUAUUGAAUUGAGUGGUUUUGUCAUGUACCUCGGGAUUGUUGAGGCAUUGGAUGAAACAG